AUGGAUGUAUUUAUCAUGACUCUUGUUUUUUUUAAACUCUGUCCUUUCUCUCUGUAUCAGUCCAGUCAUGCUGUGAUUCAACAGCAUCAUGAAACAAUCUACUGCACAGUGGAAAAGCCGGCCGCAUCCCAGACAUCCCCAGGAAACAACACCGUCAGCAACAAAUUAGAAACCAUCUACGACACUCCAUCACGACAUACCAAGGCUUGUCAGGUAGACAGUGUGGAGGUGAUGAGAGACAAUCAGGAGCAACAGCAAUCUGGACACGACAGAACUAUUAAAGUAAAAGCUACAGUUCACCAGGCAGCAGAAUCCGAUUCAGAACCAAUAAACACAGUUUACUGCAAACUGGGAGAGAUAUGACAUAAACACACACAUACUGUACAUGUCUGAGAUGUCACUUCAGUGGAGAUUUAAGACCUUUGUGAGACAGAAAAAAAAAUUAAUGUGAAUUUAGUGUUUUCACUAGUGAAUAAGAUGUUUUUGAGGAUCAUUGAUAGAUACAAUAUAUGCUGUAUGCUACCUGCUAUUUUGUGAAACAGUACAGGUGCAUCUCAAUAAAUUAGAAUGUCGUGGAAAGGUUCAUUUAUUUCAGUAAUUCAACUCAAAUUGUGA
Sinocyclocheilus grahami is the source of this 615-nucleotide long non-coding RNA. The record is from Ensembl. NCBI's taxonomy places the organism in Eukaryota, Metazoa, Chordata, Actinopteri, Cypriniformes, Cyprinidae.